UACGUAGGUGGCAAGCGUUGUUCGGAAUUACUGGGCGUAAAGCGCGUGUAGGCGGCUAAGUAAGUCGGGCGUGAAAUCCCACGGCUCAACCGUGGAAGUGCACUCGAAACUGCAUAGCUAGAGUCCUGGAGAGGAAGGUGGAAUGCUUGGUGUAGAGGUGAAAUUCGUAGAGAUCUGGAGGAACACCGAUGGCGAAGGCAGCCUUCUGGGCCAACACUGACGCUCAUGCACGAAAGCGUGGGGAGCAAACAGG
This 253-nucleotide ribosomal RNA is filed under the name uncultured bacterium. RNAcentral's name for it is "partial 16S ribosomal RNA". It matches the Rfam family "Bacterial small subunit ribosomal RNA", at positions 524 to 776 of the family's 1533-position model. The record is from RNAcentral.